This 2082-nucleotide ribosomal RNA is filed under the name marine metagenome. Its description in RNAcentral is "bacterial LSU rRNA". The stretch from base 1 to 1840 matches the Rfam family "Bacterial large subunit ribosomal RNA", at positions 934 to 2925 of the family's 2925-position model. The record is from RNAcentral.
GGAUACCCUACCCAGACAAACUCCGAAUACUGAUAAGUGAAAAGCUUGGGAGUCAGACUACGGGGGAUAAGCUUCGUUAGUCGAAAGGGAAACAGCCCAGAUCGCCAAUUAAGGUCCCAAAAUCCAUGUUAAGUGUAAAUGGUGGUGUGAUAACACAAACAACCAGGAGGUUGGCUUAGAAGCAGCCAUCCUUUAAAGAAAGCGUAACAGCUCACUGGUCGAGUCGUUGUGCGCCGAAAAUGUAACGGGGCUAAACAUGGUACCGAAAUUACGGGUCAAUAGCAUUAGCUAUUGGCGGUAGAGGAGCAUUCCGAUUGCACCGAAGUCAGAUCGUAAGGUCUGGUGGAGCGGUCGGAAGAGAGAAUGUUGGCAUGAGUAGCAAAAACCAGGGUGAGAAUCCCUGGCACCGCAAAUCCAAGGUUUCCUGGGCAACGUGAAUCGACCCAGGGUUAGUCGGUCCUAAGGCGAGGCCAAACGGCGUAGUCGAUGGACAAGCAGGUCAAUAUUCCUGCACCACGUAUAUAUUGUUUAUAACUGACGCAUCUCAAAGGAAGUAGCGUACUCUGGCUACUUGCGUUUACUUGAGCCUUCGGGCGAUAGGAUGAAGGGAGAAGUCUUCGGAUCAUCCCAACUGCUUUUAGAGAGGUGACAAGAAAAGGUUAUAAGCGCUAAUGUAUGCGUGACCGUACCGCAAACCGACACAGGUGGAUGAGGCGAGUAGCCUCAGGUGUACGAGAGAACCCUCGUUUAGGAACUCGGCAAAACAGCGGCCGUAACUUCGGGAUAAGGCCCGCCCCUAAUCUACAUUUAGCUCUCAAGAGCUUAAACAUUUCAGGGGCGCAUGAACAUAAGCAGGAUUAAAAAAAUAGGGCAGUGCCCAAAAGUUUCCUCGCACGUGCUUCAUGCGCCUCACCAUUUCUUGAGAAUUAAAUGUAGAUUUGGGGGCCGCAGCAAAAGACUCCAAGCGACUGUUUACCAAAAACACAGGUCCAUGCUAAAUCGAAAGAUGAUGUAUAUGGGCUGAUGCCUGGCCAGUGUCAGAACGUUAAAGAAGGGGGUUAUCUUCCAUUAGGAGGAGAAGCUUUCGACUGAAGCGCUGAUGAACGCCGGCGAUAACUAUAAUCGUCCUAAGGUACCGAAAUUCCUUGUCGGGUAAGUUCCGACCUGCAGGAAUGGCACAACGAUUUGGAGACUGUCUCAACGAGGGACUCGGCGAAAUUGCAAGAUCCGUGAAGAUGCGGAUUACCCGCAGCCGGACGAAAAGACCCCGUGAAGCUUUACUACAGUUUGAUAUUGGGUUUAGGAUAUGCAUGUUCAGAAUAGGUGGGAGCCCCUUGAUUUAUUUCAAGUGGCGCCAGUGAGAUACCACCCUUGUAUGUUUUGAAUUCUAACUUACUACCAUGAAUCUGGUAGAAGGACAGUAUCUGAUGGGUAGUUUGACUGGGGCGGUUGCCUCCUAAAAAGUAACGGAGGCGUUUAUAAGGUUGACUAGGUCCGAAUAGAAAUCGGGCUGAUAGGGCAAACCCAUAAGUCAGCUUUACUGCAAGACUGACACGUCGAGCAGUUGCGAAAGCAGAAGUUAGUGAUCCGACCGUGCGAUAUAGGACGGCGGAAGCUCAUCGGAUAAAAGUUACUCCGGGGAUAACAGGCUGAUCUCCUCCAAGAGUCCACAUCGACGAGGAGGUUUGGCACCUCGAUGUCGGCUCGUCGCAUCCUGGGGCUGAAGAAGGUCCCAAGGGUUAGGCUGUUCGCCUAUUAAAGCGGCACGCGAGCUGGGUUCAGAACGUCGUGAGACAGUAAAGAUAGCGACCCAAACGCGAACCAAAAAAACAUCGAUGGAAAAUCAAAUCUAUUGGAUAAAGAUCAAAUACAUCCCAAACAAUUAUCUUUUCGUUCAAAUAAUUAAAUUCAUACAAUAUGUAUUGUAUGACGACCGUGCUGUCGUUAAAUUCGGCUAUAUGCUGGAAAGUCUGAAAACUAUGCGUCUAUGGAGAAUGCAUAGAAAAGAAUCUUGCGCUACUAGAAAUUUAUUUUUAGUAACAAUGCGCCAGUGCAGAUAAUCAGCAGGAAAGACUUACCCAA